CCUACGGGAGGCUGCAGUGAGGAAUAUUGGUCAAUGGGCGAGAGCCUGAACCAGCCAAGUCGCGUGAAGGAUGACGGUUCUACGGGUCGUAAACUUCUUUUGUCAGGGAGUAAUUUGGUCCACGUGUGGGCUUAGCGAGAGUACCUGAAGAAAAAGCAUCGGCCAACCCCGUGCCAGCAGCCGCGGUAAAACGGAGGAUGGGAGCGUUAUCCGGAUUUUUUUGGUUUAAGGGUUGCGUAGGCGGAAUAUCAAGUCAGCGGUAAAAAUUCGGGGCUCAACCCCGUCGUGCCGUUGAAACUGAUGUUCUUGAGUGGGCGAGAAGUAUGCGGAAUGCGUGGUGUAGCGGUGAAAUGCAUAGAUAUCACGCAGAACUCCGAUUGCGAAGGCAGCAUACCGGCGCCCAACUGACGCUGAAGCACGAAAGCGUGGGUAUCGAACAGGAUUAGAUACCCGGGUAGUC
RNAcentral lists this ribosomal RNA (460 nucleotides) under uncultured bacterium. Its description in RNAcentral is "partial 16S ribosomal RNA". It matches the Rfam family "Bacterial small subunit ribosomal RNA", at positions 338 to 795 of the family's 1533-position model. The record is from RNAcentral.